GACGAACGCUGGCGGCGUGCUUAACACAUGCAAGUCGAACGGAGAGGCCCUGCUUUUGUGGGGUGCUCGAGUGGCGAACGGGUGAGUAACACGUGAGUAACCUGCCCUUGACUUUGGGAUAACUUCAGGAAACUGGGGCUAAUACCGGAUAGGAGCUCCUGCUGCAUGGUGGGGGUUGGAAAGUUUCGGCGGUUGGGGAUGGACUCGCGGCUUAUCAGCUUGUUGGUGGGGUAGUGGCUUACCAAGGCUUUGACGGGUAGCCGGCCUGAGAGGGUGACCGGCCACAUUGGGACUGAGAUACGGCCCAGACUCCUACGGGAGGCAGCAGUGGGGAAUAUUGCACAAUGGGCGGAGGCCUGAUGCAGCAACGCCGCGUGCGGGAUGACGGCCUUCGGGUUGUAAACCGCUUUCGCCUGUGACGAAGCGUGAGUGACGGUAAUGGGUAAAGAAGCACCGGCUAACUACGUG
Molecule: ribosomal RNA, 468 nt
Filed under: uncultured bacterium
Lineage: Bacteria
Description: partial 16S ribosomal RNA
Rfam family: Bacterial small subunit ribosomal RNA
Source: RNAcentral